This 379-nucleotide ribosomal RNA is filed under the name uncultured bacterium. RNAcentral's name for it is "bacterial SSU rRNA". It matches the Rfam family "Bacterial small subunit ribosomal RNA", at positions 521 to 896 of the family's 1533-position model. The record is from RNAcentral.
UAAUACGUAGGGUGCUAGCGUUGUCCGGAUUUAUUGGGCGUAAAGGGCUCGUAGGCGGCUUGUCGCGUCGGGAGUGAAAGCCCGCUGCUUAACGGCGGGUUUGCUUUCGGUACGGGCUGGCUGGAGUGCGGCAGGGGAGACUGGAAUUCCUGGUGUAGCGGUGGAAUGCGCAGAUAUCAGGAGGAACACCGGUGGCGAAGGCGGGUCUCUGGGCCGUUACUGACGCUGAGGAGCGAAAGCGUGGGGAGCGAACAGGAUUAGAUACCCUGGUAGUCCACGCUGUAAACGUUGGGCGCUAGGUGUGGGGCCUGUUUCCACGGGUUCCGUGCCGCAGCUAACGCAUUAAGCGCCCCGCCUGGGGAGUACGGCCGCAAGGCUA